Ostrinia furnacalis (Asian corn borer) is the source of this 3208-nucleotide long non-coding RNA. RefSeq lists it as uncharacterized. Lineage: Eukaryota; Metazoa; Arthropoda; Insecta; Lepidoptera; Crambidae. The record is from RefSeq and is a predicted model, not a curated record. The transcript has 2 exons.
GGUAAAUUAAAAGACGAUGUAUAUGCACAACUUUGUAUUAUAACGAUAAUCAUAAGCACCUUAUAAUAUGUCAUCUGUUACAUUAUUUGUUUUCAACAGUUACAUUAUCGUUAUAAAUAUUUAUACAAAAUUUAUCAAUUUGUUGAACAGCUUUGCAAAUAAUUCGCUAAAUGUGAGGUUCUGUUCAUUCACGCUUCACGCUCAUUGAAAUUUACAUUUAUUUUAGUAAGUAACUGUGAGGAACACGUGGCUUGCCAGUAUCAAAAUUAUAUCUUCGAGUUUCAAACUAGUUUUGGGCACUAGUUUCAGAACAAUCCUUUUUGGAUAUUGGCUACCACAUAAAGUAGUCGCCAGCUUCUUCUAUGUGAAUAGUGUUUCUUAAUUUUUGUACCGAAAGCUGAUAUAUUUUGAAAUAAAAUCUUUUGCGACUGGCAGCUUUUAAUCUUAAAUUUUAUUGUUAAUUCGAGCAUUAGAAAGUCAGUCCCUCACAGUUACUUGCUCUUAUCUGAACGAUUACUAGAGAGGUACUUGAUUAAUUUUAUAGGGAUACUUAGGUUCUAUAAAUAAAACAUUUGAUUAACAUUGCCAUACUGCAAAAUAAUAUUGUAAGCCUUUAAUAUUGCAAUUUUUACUCUCCCCAAUUGGGAAUUUUUACUCCCUACAAAAUUAAUCAUAAGUACCGAACACUUAUUUUACUUUAACUCCAGUACAAAAUAUUAUUAAACCUCUACAGAUGAAAACAUAGUUUUUACACAGUCGGAGAUUUACAGCUAUAGACCAAGUAGUGGCGUAUGAUAAUGUAUAAAUAAAAAUAAAUUAUUUUUAAAUACUUAGGUGCUUCCAUACCGGCAUGUUAGUAAGCCGCUCGCUCCCUGAAAUCUUUCGAUUAGAUUUCCAACUUUUUGAAGUUUACCAAUAACACAAAUAAACUCUAUUGUAUUAUUGAUAAGGUUCAAAGUACCUCGAAAAUGCAAUGCAAAUUCAUUUGGCACGCUACCCUCUAAUAAACAAGUAAAUUAAAUGUAACAUGAAAUGCAAACCUUGGGUGCCCUUUAUUAAAUAAUGCUCUAUUUUAAAUAAUUUCAAAAGUAUGCUUUACAAAUUACAACUAAACUCGGAAUGUUUUUAGGCAGGGUGAUACUGCGAACAGUUUUUAUUCAUAAGAUGAAUGGCAAAAUAUAAAGAACCGACCCUGCCUUUACAUUUCCCUUAUAAAAUAAAAGGAGAUAUGCAAUGCUUGACAUAAAGACCGAUAUUAUUAAAAUUAGGCUAGAUGUUACGUUCAUAAUUAUAAAGUACGUAUAAAAAUAUAAAGUAAACAAUACAUGACUUUACUUUUUAUGAAAAUAGCAUAUUUUGUGAUUAGUGGAUUAAUUAAUCUAUUAUCCUUAAGUUAGUCGCAUGAAAGGAAUGAAUGAAAUAAACUAAUCACAUUUAUUCUGAUUAAUACACAAAUCUAAUAAUUUUAUUCGAUUUAACGAUCUAAAUAUACAAAAACAAGCGAUGGAAUUCAUGUCAAACAGACAUAUCGUUAAAGAUUGCAUAUAUUUUUGGUUUUAAUAAUAAAUUAUACUAAUUUUAUGGCUGUUGUAUAAACAUGAUCGCUACUACAACUAGUUAUACAUCGGUGUCGGCUGUGGGCCGGGUCGCACCUGUCGGCAUUGGUCCAGGUUGGCCAUACGGGAACAACGAAGCGUUUCAAUUUCUAUUACAAAAUUGCGAAUUUCAACCAAAGGAUUUUGAAAUGCAUACAAAAUGAAAAACACCCUGUAUACAGUGAAUUUUCUACUAAUUUGCUCUGCAAUCUGCUUUGAACGAUUGAAAUCCUUAUUCAUUGUUCAUGUGCCUUUGACAAUAUUACCGAUAGAUGGAACCCGACUCGAAACGAUAACGUGACGCAGGUGGAUCUCCAGUGGAACGGUGCAUUAACCUAUUACUUACACGAGAUGUAACGCAAUGAAAAGGCGACCAUAUAAACGCUAAUGUAGAAUCGAAAAUGUAUCGUAGCUAUGGUUCAUUUGAACAAUUCAGUCUCUAUGACAGUGACGUCAGACCAUUAGGUAUAAUAUGCCUCAGAAAAGAGUUUGUAUAAAGUGUAUAAACAGUUAUAGGGCAGAUUGUUUCAAAUACCUACGUCUAAUUUUCAAAUAGUGUUGUUUGACGUUUCGAUGCUACAUCUGAGUUAUGAACGCAUCGCCCUAAAAAGCGGGCGUAUAGUGGAUAGUGGUGUAGUCAACAGCACGUCAACCUACACCAAAAUAUCAAAUCUCCUCAAUUGAAAUUUAUAGGUAAUAAAGUUUAAAAUGCAUUGUGGGGAUAAGUCAUUUUGCGAUAGGUUCAUGUGCUGUGGACUGUACAUCGAGACAAGUAUUGACCAGCAAUAGUCCUUUACGCACCACCCACAGCUACUAUAAUAAGAUAAUCACCGAAUAAUUAAAUACAAAGUUCACAUUCAACAAGCGAUAUUAUGCCUUCGAUAUUUUCACACUUGUUUAUUGAACCUGUCAAAAAUAUUCAAAGGUACACUAUCAUUGAAAACAAUUAAGAACUUACGUUAGCAGGAUAUACAGAUGAGACGGAUGAUAGUUCUAUUUAGUACUUCAUUACGCAACAUCGCUUCACUGGCGACCGAUCAGAUGCGUGUGCGCAAAUUGGACGCCUUUCGAUGCCCAAUUCUGCUAUUAAAAACGUGCUUAGAAUAGCGCCUAAACCCCGUGUGCGAGCGCGAUAGCAACAUAAUUACGCGCGAGCGAUAAGGAUGGGUAGCUUGGGGUCAUUGGACAAAAUUCUACGUGCUCACGGACCAGACUUAAGCUGUAAGAACAACGUCAUCAAUCUCUCUAUUCUAACCCGAUUUAUAUAGCUCUGAUUGGUCGCAAAUAACGCGAACAUUGCAAGCAUUAGAGCUUCAAAUCCAACGAGUUGCAAGUUGCAAGCCCCGUCGGAAUCGCGGCCCCAACCAACAGCAGUCGACGUCGAGUGAAAUAUAAAACAUCAACAAAACUACCAAUUUAAUUAUAUGUGUACUAACUAAUAUAUUAAAUAUAGACCACAAUGCGUCUUCACGUGUCACUCGUAGAGCGUCCUCUCGCUCGCACACAUGUACUCACUGACCCCCGUUGCACGCGAGUGUUAAGUGGGUAGACGCACAAUUGGCUGCAAUGUAACAUUUCAUUAACUAACAUCCUAAACACGUAAACGCUUUACU